Molecule: long non-coding RNA, 884 nt
Organism: Microplitis demolitor
Lineage: Eukaryota; Metazoa; Arthropoda; Insecta; Hymenoptera; Braconidae
Exons: 3
Source: RefSeq, a predicted model, not a curated record
AAACGCUAAGAGGAAACAAUCUUUUACGUAAAAAAGUUUUUCAGUUCUGAGUAAAUUGCACGGAAAUUUUCCAAGACGAACUGACAGACAGGUCAAGUACGACUUGUAGAUUUGGGUUUAGUAUUCAAACUUGGACACGGCCUACUGUAUUAAAUAGUGUGGGUUCAACACCUACAAUCUACAGUGCAUACUGUUAAAAAUCUCAGGUACAUCAGUUUUUGAAAUCCUGUCAGUUUUAGUGUAAGAAAAAUUGUGUAAACUAAGAUAGAGUAUUUCUUGGAAAAAAAUUUCAUCUUACACCUGAUCUAGCCGUCGAAAAUGAUUUCCUGCAGUACCUGACAUGGUCUAUAUACUAUCCCCAAGGUGCUAGUCAUCAGCUGUUCGUCUCACGCAGCCCACCAGCUACCAGUACCUCAUGCACUUCCACCUAAAGGAUCUGGUAUCCCUUUAAACUUUAAAACCCACUAGGACUACAAUCCUACACUCAUCAAAACAAAUAUAUAAUUUCUAUCACUGCAUAAAUAACAACUCGUUUAAAUUCCCUAGAAAAAGAAAUGUUGUUAAAUGACAGAAUAACACGAUGUGUUAUUGCGUGAUCGUCGAUAAUUUUUUAAUAAUUUCCAUAAUACAUGUUUUGAAACUUCUUAAUGAUGAUGAUGGGCUGACUGAAGCAAAAGUGAAGCAGAAACUGACAUCAUUGAAUUUCUGCAGAGACCGUUUUGUGGAUGUAAAGGAAGUGGCACGCGCACGGUGCCGGUUAGCCACGCGACAUGCUCCAAGUUCCAAGAAACGAUUCUCCAACCGUCUUGGCAUCUUUCGCCGUUGUUGUUUUCCUUCAGCCCAUACAUAUAUAACCAACGGUGAAGUAGAGUGGAGAAAAGAAG